AACGAACGCUGGCGGCAUGCCUAACACAUGCAAGUCGAACGAGACCUUCGGGUCUAGUGGCGCACGGGUGCGUAACGCGUGGGAACCUGCCCUUAGGUUCGGAAUAACUCCCCGAAAGGGGUGCUAAUACCGGAUAAUGUCUUCGGACCAAAGAUUUAUCGCCUUUGGAUGGGCCCGCGUUGGAUUAGCUCGUUGGUAGGGUAAAAGCCUACCAAGGCGACGAUCCAUAGCUGGUCUGAGAGGAUGAUCAGCCACACUGGGACUGAGAAACGGCCCAGACUCCUACGGGAGGCAGGAGUGGGGAAUAUUGGACAAUGGGCGAAAGCCUGAUCCAGCAAUGCCGCGUGAGUGAUGAAGGCCUUAGGGUUGUAAAGCUCUUUUACCCGGGAUGAUAAUGACAGUACCGGGAGAAUAAGCUCCGGCUAACUCCGUG
RNAcentral lists this ribosomal RNA (433 nucleotides) under uncultured bacterium. RNAcentral's name for it is "partial 16S ribosomal RNA". It matches the Rfam family "Bacterial small subunit ribosomal RNA", at positions 29 to 507 of the family's 1533-position model. The record is from RNAcentral.